GCGCUUGCUUCAGCAGCACAUAUACUAAAAUUGGAACGAUACAGAGAAGAUUAGCAUGGCCCCUGUACAAGGAUGACAUACAAAUUCGUGAAGCAUUUCAUAUUUAA
This 107-nucleotide small nuclear RNA is filed under the name Physeter macrocephalus (sperm whale). The record is from RNAcentral. Lineage: Eukaryota; Metazoa; Chordata; Mammalia; Artiodactyla; Physeteridae.